RNAcentral lists this long non-coding RNA (341 nucleotides) under Rhinopithecus bieti (black snub-nosed monkey). RNAcentral describes it as "lncRNA (ENSRBIG00000046486.1)". Lineage: Eukaryota; Metazoa; Chordata; Mammalia; Primates; Cercopithecidae. The record is from RNAcentral.
GAGCUAUUGACAUUUGAUAUGUGGCCUAACAUAUGAAUACAUUUAAAAAUAUUUCAAGAGCACUCGUGGAAAGGUGGAAAUACAACUCAAAUGGUUCCGGAGGAUGUGCCAUGUUAUCUGCAAGAAACCAGGUGGCCUGGUUGAUAUCAACAACAUGUGAAAUUCCAUUCAUGAUGCAGUACCUAAGACACAUGAGGAGCUGACCACCCGUUGCCUGCCAAUGGUGCUGCAUGCCACACUGGCCUGCUUAUACCUCAGAAGAUGGAGCUUUACAGUUGACCUCGAGCCAUGUUUAGUUUCCCACGUGCUGGUUCAGAAGUCUCACCAGCUAUUAAAAUUUG